This 1338-nucleotide long non-coding RNA is filed under the name Strigops habroptila (Kakapo). Its description in RNAcentral is "lncRNA (ENSSHBG00005020295.1)". The record is from RNAcentral. Lineage: Eukaryota; Metazoa; Chordata; Aves; Psittaciformes; Psittacidae.
GCGCGCGCCCGCGGCCCAGGCUGUGAUUGGUGCAGGCCCGGCCCCGGCGCACACCAAGGCCCGGCCGCCGCCGCCGCCGCGCGGCGGACUCCUGCGGCCCGGCCCUUCCCCCGCCCCGGGCCCCGUCCCGCGGCGCGGCCCGCCCGGCGCGGGGACCCGCACAGGUGAGCCGAGGCGUCAGAGCCGGGCCGGCGGGGGGGAGGCUGAGGGGGUGGGCACAAUGGCAGGCGGCUAGGCCGCGCCGCAAGGCCGCGACCGGGGCCUGCCAGCGCCACCGCGGACACCGACGGGCCCGGCCGCGGACACCCGGCGGUGGGUCGGUGAGCUCCGGGCCGCCGCCGGUCGCUGCCGCGCUGGGCGGGAGGGCGCGGGCGUCGCCAGCUAACCCUGCGGGUGAGGGGCCUCUGCGGACGGCCAGAAAAUGGCGGAAAACAAGAUGUCGGCCGGUGGGGCGGGGAAGGCUGCGGCCCCGCGGGCCGUCGCGCCGCCGGGACUGGGGUUAUCCCCGCCUCCCGGCCCGCCGCGGGACACCCGGCUCCUGCGCCGCGGCCGUCGGGCAGGGGAGCUGCGGCCGCGGGACAGCAGCAGCGCGGCGGCGGCGCGGACGGGGCCGCCGCAAGGAGGGGAGGCCGCGGGGGGCGGCGGCCCCUUCCCUGCAGCGGGCGGUGUUCCGCGGCCGCGCCGCCGCCCUGCGCCCUCAGCGGGCUCCUUUGUCUCCGCGCUCCCACCCCUCCCUCCGCCGCCUCCUGCCCGGCGCGGCGGCGCCGCUGCCCGCUUCCCUGCGGCGCGGAGAGGCGCUUCCAGCCGGGGCCGUGGCGCCUGAGCCCGCUGCCGGCCGCCGAGCGGUCCGCGGGCGCGGAGGAUCCGCACCGGGCUGCCCGGCCGGCACCGCGGGCUCGCCCGCCCGCCCCGCCGCCGCGCUCCCGCCGCCCGGGGACGCGCCCGUUCCGCGAGCACGCGCCGGAGGGCUGCGCCGUGCCGUGCCGUGCUCCGCCGCAGCCGCGCAGCCCCAGCGCGGGGCCGGCCCCGCCGUCCCCGGUGGAGCGGCGGGAUCGCGAGUCCGGGCGUCGGAGGCGCGGGCAGCCCCUGCACGGUGCUUCCCGCGGCUGUCGCCCUUCUCCUCCCGCGGUCGCUGUUAUGGGAAGUUCCGUUACGGCUGUGGCUGUAACACGUAGAUGUAAAUUCUAUUUAAUUAAUUUAUUUAAGAGCCUUAAGCGCGUUUCGGGCAGUAAGACACGCUCUCAUGCACUGGUUUUGCCUUUGUCAUUUUAAAUGGAUUUGGAGUGUUAAGUUUUCGUGGCUGCUUUAUAGGCGAACACAAUAAAGGACUUUAAAAUG